RNAcentral lists this ribosomal RNA (253 nucleotides) under uncultured bacterium. RNAcentral describes it as "partial 16S ribosomal RNA". It matches the Rfam family "Bacterial small subunit ribosomal RNA", at positions 524 to 776 of the family's 1533-position model. The record is from RNAcentral.
UACGAAGGUGGCAAGCGUUACUCGGAAUUACUAGGCGUAAAGGGCAGGUAGGUGGUUUGGUUAGUCUGUUGUGAAAGCUCCUUGCUUAACGGGGAGAGGCCAACAGAUACUGCCAGACUUGAGUAUAGGAGAGGGUACUGGAAUUCCCGGUGUAGCGGUGAAAUGCGCAGAGAUCGGGAGGAACACCAAUGGCGAAAGCAGGUACCUGGACUAUUACUGACACUAAGCUGCGAAAGCUAGGGGAGCAAACAGG